RNAcentral lists this unclassified non-coding RNA (386 nucleotides) under fungal sp. RNAcentral describes it as "partial internal transcribed spacer region". The stretch from base 1 to 46 matches the Rfam family "Eukaryotic small subunit ribosomal RNA", at positions 1786 to 1831 of the family's 1831-position model. Lineage: Eukaryota; Fungi. The record is from RNAcentral.
AAGUCGUAACAAGGUUUCCGUAGGUGAACCUGCGGAAGGAUCAUUAUUGAUUUCGCGGCCCUCACGGGCUGCGUCUUCCCGUGCUCCUCGCACCGUCGGGGACACGGACACACCAUUUGUGCAUCGUAACCGUCGCUUCGCCGGUCGCCACAGAUCAUUGUCAAAUCACGUGUGAGAUUGUAUCGAUCGCGUAAUUCGAUGUUUGAGCUGGUUCACGGCGGUCUCUCGCUUCGCGGCGGGAUACCGACGGCGCGCAGUGCGCCGGCGAAGAUUUAUUUGACACCAACUUGCUUAAAAAAGUCGGCUUGAAAGGCUUCGCGAACAGCAGAAGCAGUUAUUUAUGGAAAACAAUAAAACAACUUUUAACAACGGAUCUCUUGGCUCUC